UGAUGUGGAUUAAUUCGAUGCAACGCGAAAACCUUACCUACCCUUGACAUGUCCGGAAUCCCGAAGAGAUUUGGGAGUGCUCGCAAGAGAGCCGGAACACAGGUGCUGCAUGGCUGUCGUCAGCUCGUGUCGUGAGAUGUUGGGUUAAGUCCCGCAACGAGCGCAACCCUUGUCAUUAGUUGCCAUCAUUUGGUUGGGCACUCUAAUGAGACUGCCGGUGACAAACCGGAGGAAGGUGGGGAUGACGUCAAGUCCUCAUGGCCCUUAUGGGUAGGGCUUCACACGUCAUACAAUGGUCGGUACAGAGGGUUGCCAACCCGCGAGGGGGAGCUAAUCUCUUAAAGCCAAUCUCAGUUCGGAUUGUAGGCUGCAACUCGCCUACAUGAAGUCGGAAUCGCUAGUAAUCGCGGAUCAGCAACGCUGCGGUGAAUACGUUCCCGGGCCUU
This 446-nucleotide ribosomal RNA is filed under the name uncultured Propionivibrio sp. RNAcentral's name for it is "bacterial SSU rRNA". It matches the Rfam family "Bacterial small subunit ribosomal RNA", at positions 937 to 1382 of the family's 1533-position model. The record is from RNAcentral. Lineage: Bacteria; Pseudomonadati; Pseudomonadota; Betaproteobacteria; Rhodocyclales; Rhodocyclaceae.